CCUACGGGCGGCAGCAGUGAGGAAUAUUGGUCAAUGGACGAGAGUCUGAACCAGUCAAGUAGCGUGAAGGAUGACUGCCCUAUGGGUUGUAAACUUCUUUUAUAUGGGAAUAAAAUGUUCCACGUGUGGGAUUUUGUAUGUACCAUAUGAAUAAGGAUCGGCUAACUCCGUGCCAGCAGCCGCGGUAAUACGGAGGAUCCGAGCGUUAUCCGGAUUUAUUGGGUUUAAAGGGAGCGUAGGUGGAUUGUUAAGUCAGUUGUGAAAGUUUGCGGCUCAACCGUAAAAUUGCAGUUGAAACUGGCAGUCUUGAGUGCAGUAGAGGUGGGCGGAAUUCGUGGUGUAGCGGUGAAAUGCUUAGAUAUCACGAAGAACUCCGAUUGCGAAGGCAGUUCACUGGACUGCAACUGACACUGAGGCUCGAAAGUGUGGGUAUCAAACAGGAUUAGAUACCCCUGUAGUC
RNAcentral lists this ribosomal RNA (460 nucleotides) under uncultured bacterium. RNAcentral describes it as "partial 16S ribosomal RNA". It matches the Rfam family "Bacterial small subunit ribosomal RNA", at positions 338 to 795 of the family's 1533-position model. The record is from RNAcentral.